RNAcentral lists this ribosomal RNA (252 nucleotides) under uncultured bacterium. Its description in RNAcentral is "partial 16S ribosomal RNA". It matches the Rfam family "Bacterial small subunit ribosomal RNA", at positions 525 to 776 of the family's 1533-position model. The record is from RNAcentral.
ACGUAGGGCGCGAGCGUUGUCCGGAAUUAUUGGGCGUAAAGAGCUCGUAGGCGGCCUGUUGCGUCCGCUGUGAAAGCCCGGGGCUUAACCCCGGGUCGGCAGUGGAUACGGGCAGGCUAGAGGUAGGUAGGGGAGAAUGGAAUUCCCGGUGUAGCGGUGAAAUGCGCAGAUAUCGGGAGGAACACCGGUGGCGAAGGCGGUUCUCUGGGCCUUACCUGACGCUGAGGAGCGAAAGCGUGGGGAGCGAACAGG